UAAUCCGACCUAGGCUCAUCUGAUAGCGCAAGGCCCGAAGGUCCCCUGCUUUCUCCCGUAGGACGUAUGCGGUAUUAGCGUUCGUUUCCGAACGUUAUCCCCCACUACCAGGCAGAUUCCUAGGCAUUACUCACCCGUCCGCCGCUCUCAAGAGAAGAAAGCUUCUCUCUACCGCUCNACUUGCAUGUGUUAGGCCUGCCGCCAGCGUUCAAUCUGAGCCAGGAUCAAACUCU
RNAcentral lists this ribosomal RNA (233 nucleotides) under uncultured bacterium. RNAcentral describes it as "partial 16S ribosomal RNA". The record is from RNAcentral.